CUGCUCAGGACGAACGCCGGCGGCGUGCUUAACACAUGCAAGUCGAACGAUGACGGUGGUGCUUGCACCGCCUGAUUAGUGGCGAACGGGUGAGUAACACGUGAGUAACCUGCCCUCCACUUCGGGAUAACCUCGGGAAAUCGUGGCUAAUACCGGAUAUGAGCACUCAUCGCAUGGUGAGUGCUGGAAAGAUUUAUCGGUGGGGGAUGGACUCGCGGCCUAUCAGUUUGUUGGUGAGGUGAUGGCUCACCAAGACGAUGACGGGUAGCCGGCCUGAGAGGGCGACCGGCCACACUGGGACUGAGACACGGCCCAGACUCCUACGGGAGGCAGCAGUGGGGAAUAUUGCACAAUGGGCGAAAGCCUGAUGCAGCGACGCCGCGUGGGGGAUGACGGCCUUCGGGUUGUAAACCCCUUUCAGUAGGGAAGAAGCGAGAGUGACGGUACCUGCAGAAGAAGCGCCGGCUAACUACGUGCCAGCAGCCGCGGUAAUACGUAGGGCGCAAGCGUUGUCCGGAAUUAUUGGGCGUAAAGAGCUUGUAGGUGGCUUGUCGCGUCUGCCGUGAAAACCCGAGGCUCAACCUCGGGCGUGCGGUGGGUACGGGCAGGCUAGAGUGUGGUAGGGGAGACUGGAACUCCUGGUGUAGCGGUGAAAUGCGCAGAUAUCAGGAAGAACACCGAUGGCGAAGGCAGGUCUCUGGGCCAUUACUGACACUGAGAAGCGAAAGCAUGGGUAGCGAACAGGAUUAGAUACCCUGGUAGUCCAUGCCGUAAACGUUGGGCACUAGGUGUGGGGGACAUUCCACGUUUUCCGCGCCGUAGCUAACGCAUUAAGUGCCC
Molecule: ribosomal RNA, 840 nt
Filed under: Brachybacterium conglomeratum
Lineage: Bacteria; Bacillati; Actinomycetota; Actinomycetes; Micrococcales; Dermabacteraceae
Description: bacterial SSU rRNA
Rfam family: Bacterial small subunit ribosomal RNA
Source: RNAcentral